Molecule: ribosomal RNA, 465 nt
Filed under: Vreelandella stevensii
Lineage: Bacteria; Pseudomonadati; Pseudomonadota; Gammaproteobacteria; Oceanospirillales; Halomonadaceae
Description: partial 16S ribosomal RNA
Rfam family: Bacterial small subunit ribosomal RNA
Source: RNAcentral
CCUACGGGGGGCAGCAGUGGGGAAUAUUGGACAAUGGGCGAAAGCCUGAUCCAGCCAUGCCGCGUGUGUGAAGAAGGCCUUCGGGUUGUAAAGCACUUUCAGUGGGGAAGAAAGCCUUGGGGCUAAUACCCUCGAGGAAGGACAUCACCCACAGAAGAAGCACCGGCUAACUCCGUGCCAGCAGCCGCGGUAAUACGGAGGGUGCGAGCGUUAAUCGGAAUUACUGGGCGUAAAGCGCGCGUAGGCGGUCUGAUAAGCCGGUUGUGAAAGCCCCGGGCUCAACCUGGGAACGGCAUCCGGAACUGUCAGGCUAGAGUGCAGGAGAGGAAGGUAGAAUUCCCGGUGUAGCGGUGAAAUGCGUAGAGAUCUGGAGGAAUACCAGUGGCGAAGGCGGCCUUCUGGACUGACACUGACGCUGAGGUGCGAAAGCGUGGGUAGCAAACAGGAUUAGAUACCCCUGUAGUC